GUGGGGAAUAUUGGGCAAUGGGCGAAAGCCUGACCCAGCAACGCCGCGUGAGGGAAGAAGGCCUUCGGGUUGUAAACCUCUGUCCUUGGUGACGAAACAAAUGACGGUAGCCAAGGAGGAAGCCCCGGCUAACUACGUGCCAGCAGCCGCGGUAAUACGUAGGGGGCGAGCGUUGUCCGGAAUUACUGGGCGUAAAGGGUGCGUAGGUGGCCUUUUAAGUUGGAUGUGAAAUACCCGGGCUUAACUUGGGGGGUGCAUCUAAUACUGGAGGGCUAGAGUGCAGGAGAGGGAAGCGGAAUUCCUAGUGUAGCGGUGAAAUGCGUAGAUAUUAGGAGGAACACCAGUGGCGAAGGCGGCUUUCUGGACUGUAACUGACACUGAGGCACGAAAGCGUGGGGAGCAAACAGGAUUAGAUACCCCAGUAGUCC
RNAcentral lists this ribosomal RNA (428 nucleotides) under uncultured bacterium. RNAcentral's name for it is "partial 16S ribosomal RNA". It matches the Rfam family "Bacterial small subunit ribosomal RNA", at positions 354 to 796 of the family's 1533-position model. The record is from RNAcentral.